Molecule: ribosomal RNA, 556 nt
Filed under: uncultured bacterium
Lineage: Bacteria
Description: partial 16S ribosomal RNA
Rfam family: Bacterial small subunit ribosomal RNA
Source: RNAcentral
UGGGGAAUUUUGGACAAUGGGCGAAAGCCUGAUCCAGCAAUGCCGCGUGUGUGAAGAAGGCCUUCGGGUUGUAAAGCACUUUUGUCCGGAAAGAAAUCCUUGGCUCUAAUACAGUCGGGGGAUGACGGUACCGGAAGAAUAAGCACCGGCUAACUACGUGCCAGCAGCCGCGGUAAUACGUAGGGUGCAAGCGUUAAUCGGAAUUACUGGGCGUAAAGCGUGCGCAGGCGGUUUGCUAAGACCGAUGUGAAAUCCCCGGGCUCAACCUGGGAACUGCAUUGGUGACUGGCAGGCUAGAGUAUGGCAGAGGGGGGUAGAAUUCCACGUGUAGCAGUGAAAUGCGUAGAGAUGUGGAGGAAUACCGAUGGCGAAGGCAGCCCCCUGGGCCAAUACUGACGCUCAUGCACGAAAGCGUGGGGAGCAAACAGGAUUAGAUACCCUGGUAGUCCACGCCCUAAACGAUGUCAACUAGUUGUUGGGGACUUCAUUUCCUUAGUAACGUAGCUAACGCGUGAAGUUGACCGCCUGGGGGAGUACGGUCGCAAGAUUAAAACUU